Molecule: long non-coding RNA, 2061 nt
Organism: Bufo bufo (common toad)
Lineage: Eukaryota; Metazoa; Chordata; Amphibia; Anura; Bufonidae
Exons: 4
Source: RefSeq, a predicted model, not a curated record
CCAGUGGCGGAAUGGCCAUAGACCUUGCAGGGAAAUUUCCUGGUGGGCUGGUGCCUUUCUCACCACCGCCAGAUGAGUAAAUAAGGACCUGAUGCUCUCAGCGGUAAUUAAUGAUAGGAGCAUCAGGUACCUAUUCACCUGGCCAGCGACCAAAGGUCAAUUCAACUUGUAUCACAGUCCUCGGGAAGUUAAUAAAGUUGCAGCAGGGAUGGCGGUAUUUUGUGCUUUACUGUGGUAUUUGGUUCUGCACUAUGGCGCACACACACAACUCUUUUGUCAUGCCUUCUGUCAAUUCGGACCAGUCUACAACAUGGUGCCACUUUCAGGGGGAGGGUUCUCCAGGGCCACUUUAUGUUCCCAGUCCGAUCCUGUAUUCCAUCCCUGGUUUUGGCUUACAAAUAUUAACCAAAUACUGACCAAUUGCGGACCAUGUAAAAGUGGCCUAAGGGGAAAGUUUACUUUAUUAAGAGGUGCACGUUAUGAGCGCUAGAUUUGCACUAUAAUUUACACCAGUUUUUUCAGAAACCAAGGGUGACCCUACCAUCACAUCGCCCCACCCACUUUGUAAAAAGUGUCCACAGCAUUGGAAUAAUCACAAAAAGCUGUAUUUAUUUGUGCAAAUAUGGCUUAUGCAAAUAUUUACAGCUUUUUAUGCCAUAAAACUCCAUUCCCCACUCCAUGAGUCCUGACAGAAUUUAAACACUUUCUCCAUAAGGCUAGUCCACACGGUGGAUUUUGCAAAGACAAAAAUCACCCAGCUGAAAACCUUUUCCGUUUAAGUGCCAUGGACCUGCUUGUGUUGUAGCCCCACUGAAUGAAGCCAAAAUGCAAGUGGACACGGGUCUCGGGUUCCAGCGGCACCUAGCGACAUGUCCUUCCUUGGUGCAGUUGCGACUAUAAACCACAUGCAGCGCAGCCUCCCAUUGGAAACAAUGAGACCGAUCCAGCGUGGCUUUAUAGUGCGGCUUCUGAGCUAAAAGCAUCCUGUGAACGGGGCCUAAAAGUGUAAAUUGAUUCAUAGAAAACUAUAUAUCACUGAGUUCAGCAUAUCUCCCUCUAUAAUAUAUUGCCAUUAGAUAGGGUAGCUUAGGAGACAUGGCAGGAAUCACAUAUGCAGAUUUUGUGCCAAACACAAGAGUGGGUAUAAAAAAAAAAAGAGAAGUAUAAUUUUUUUUUUUUUUUUUUUUACUUUUCCUUCUAUUUGGAUUUUGGUUAAAAAAUGGCAUCAAAACUGCAUGUGCUAUUCCAGCCUUAAAGGCUAUGGACACCUUAGGGGCAUCUUUUUUUCUUUAAAUGCAUGUAUUUUUUGCGGAAAAUGUUUGCGCAAUAGAAUUUUAAUAAAAGUGUUGCAGCAUUUUAUGUAUCGCAGUAGAAUUCUCAUUUGACGGCUUGGUCUCAAAUCCCUUUCUCCUCUCUCCCGAACAAUCAUCUAGGCGAUUUAUGACCAAAUCAGAGUUCCGUUUUCAUUUGGUCAUAAACCGACUUAGAUGUGUACAGUUAUAUAACUGCUAAUCUCUACUGGAAAUAUCAUCUAACUUAAAUAAUUAAUACUAAGUGUGCUAAGGGAAUUUCUAAGAAUGCAAUUUUUAUGCACGACAGUAUGGACUCACAGUACUGUUAGCAAUCAAGAAUGUUGAUCAUAUAGGUAGACUGUGUAGUAGGUGGGGGGGGGGGGGGGGGGGGAACAAGUUUUAGCUAGAGAGAGAUGCCGAGAAGCUCCUACACCUGCUACCUUGGGGCCCAGAUUUAAAGAGGUUCGCCACUUUAUAAGAAUUGUUUCCUAAAGGACUUUUAAGUUGUGGCACAUAAAUCUGUAAAUGUUCCUAAAUGUUAUGUGACAGCUUUCUUGGUUGUCCCUGGCUGCUUUUGCGCAGGAGCAGAACAGUAACUCUGCACCUCUCCUGUAUUUGCACAUGUACUGAAUGCAUUCAGUUACUGCUCAGCCCUGCACAGAAGUGGAUGCAGUGCGGGACGUCCAAGAAAGCCAUAAUGUGGUUAGAUCUGCAUGCUCUGUGGUUCUGGAAAUCCACAAAUGGGCAACAUGGGCUUUCAACUGAACAG